Molecule: non-coding RNA, 24 nt
Filed under: Arabidopsis thaliana (thale cress)
Lineage: Eukaryota; Viridiplantae; Streptophyta; Magnoliopsida; Brassicales; Brassicaceae
Source: RNAcentral
UGCCUGUAAGAUUUAUUCUACUUC